RNAcentral lists this ribosomal RNA (399 nucleotides) under uncultured bacterium. RNAcentral describes it as "bacterial SSU rRNA". It matches the Rfam family "Bacterial small subunit ribosomal RNA", at positions 28 to 429 of the family's 1533-position model. The record is from RNAcentral.
GACGAACGCUGGCGGCGUGCUUAACACAUGCAAGUCGAGCGGUAAGGCCCUUUCGGGGGUACACGAGCGGCGAACGGGUCGAGUAACACGUGGGUGACCUGCCCUCAGCUCUGGGAUAAGCCUGGGAAACCGGGUCUAAUACUGGAUAUGACUCCAUGACGCAUGUUGUGGGGUGGAAAGCCUUGUGCGGCUGAGGAUGGGCCCGCGGCCUAUCAGCUUGUUGGUGGGGUGAUGGCCUACCAAGGCGACGACGGGUAGCCGGCCUGAGAGGGCGACCGGCCACACUGGGACUGAGACACGGCCCAGACUCCUACGGGAGGCAGCAGUGGGGAAUCUUGCGCAAUGGGCGAAAGCCUGACGCAGCGACGCCGCGUGAGGGAUGACGGCCUCGGUUGUAAC